Molecule: long non-coding RNA, 679 nt
Organism: Herpailurus yagouaroundi (jaguarundi)
Lineage: Eukaryota; Metazoa; Chordata; Mammalia; Carnivora; Felidae
Exons: 2
Source: RefSeq, a predicted model, not a curated record
CUUUGGGGACAGAGCCCGGUCAUGCAUUCCUCUCCUGAGGUGCUGACAGACCCAGUAUUGCCUGUGCACCGCUCCUGACCCUCCCUGCUAAGAUGUCCUGCCAGCAGAACCAGCAGCAGUGCCAGCCACCUCCCAAAUGUCCUCCCAAGUGUCCCCCAAAAUGCCCCCCAGUCUCUUCCUGCUGCAGUGUCAGCUCUGGGGGCUGCUGUGGCUCCAGCUCUGGGGGCGGGGGCUGCUGUAGCUCUGGGGGUGGUGGCUGCUGUCUGAGCCACCACAGGCGACGAAGGUCCCAUCGCCACAGACAGAGCUGUGACUGCUGCAGCCAGCCCUCAGGGGGCUCCGGAUGCUGUGGCCAGCCAUCUGGGAGCUCUGGGUGUUGCGGAGGGGGCAACAAUCAGUCAUCUGGAGGCUGCUGUUGAAGUGGACCUUGAUACCCUCUUCCCCUGACCUUCCUGAAAGGUGGAGAGAUCUGAGCAAAAGCUUAGGCUCUAGCCAGAGGAUCCCUCUACCCUGGUGUCCAGAAGCCCAAAACAUCUCUCUAAAAUUCAUUUUCUGCCUUUCUUCCCCCUAUCUGUGACUGUCCUGGGAAUCUCAAAGUGCAAACUUCUUGUUUCUCCACAACUUGUAUUAUUGCAUUCUGUUGUCAGAAUUAGAACAAUAAAAUUGAAUCUGAUCACUA